RNAcentral lists this transfer RNA (55 nucleotides) under Crassicauda magna. RNAcentral's name for it is "tRNA-Glu". RNAcentral also lists the same sequence under 1 other name. The record is from RNAcentral. Lineage: Eukaryota; Metazoa; Nematoda; Chromadorea; Rhabditida; Tetrameridae.
GUAAAGUUAUUAUAAGUUAUUAUAUUUAAUUUUCGAUUAAAUGAUUAUCUUUAUA